This 253-nucleotide ribosomal RNA is filed under the name uncultured bacterium. RNAcentral describes it as "partial 16S ribosomal RNA". It matches the Rfam family "Bacterial small subunit ribosomal RNA", at positions 524 to 776 of the family's 1533-position model. The record is from RNAcentral.
UACGUAGGGUGCAAGCGUUGUCCGGAAUUAUUGGGCGUAAAGAGCUCGUAGGCGGUUCGUCGCGUCGGCUGUGAAAUCCCGAGGCUCAACCUCGGGUCUGCAGUCGAUACGGGCGGACUGGAGUUCGGCAGGGGAGACUGGAAUUCCUGGUGUAGCGGUGAAAUGCGCAGAUAUCAGGAGGAACACCGGUGGCGAAGGCGGGUCUCUGGGCCGAUACUGACGCUGAGGAGCGAAAGCGUGGGGAUCAAACAGG